Molecule: small nucleolar RNA, 107 nt
Organism: Dendrobium catenatum
Lineage: Eukaryota; Viridiplantae; Streptophyta; Magnoliopsida; Asparagales; Orchidaceae
Source: RefSeq, a predicted model, not a curated record
ACAUCAUGAUGAGGGAAUUUCCUAAGCAUUUUAUUAAAUCUCUCUCAACUUUCAUAAAUUAAUUCUUGCUCAAGCUGGGCAAAAGAUGUGAUAUCAUUUCUAAGUUU